UAAAGAUUGACAACCAGAUUAUAAUAUCCUCUGGUAAAUGGCUAGUAGUGAUGGUCACUGGCGUGUGUGUGUGUGUGUGUGUGUGUGUGGUAGGGAUGGUGAAUUGGUGUGUGUGGCAACAGCAGGUCCGCUUGCAGCAUUCUCUGUAAGCAUUUCUUGAAGCACGUGCCACCUACAGUACAGCGGAUGACCCACCCAACUAUAACUGUCUCGAUCAGUCACGCUCUCUCUACUCACGCACACACCACAUCCCAAAGUGCCCUGAUGGGGAAGAAAGAAGAAAAACAUUCUUGCUCUCUCGCUCUCUCCACCACCACCCUACUGCCUCUGAUCUGGCGGACUUAGUAAACACAAAUACUGUGUAGUAGUAGACGUGUGUAGUAGUAGUAGUUUUUAGUUGUGUAUGAAUAGGGACAUGAAAUACAUUAUAUGAUAACAUGGAAAACACUGUCACGUUUAAAUUGUUUUAUUUUACCUUUAUUUAACCAGGCAAGUUAGUUAAGAACAAAUUCUUAUUUUCAAUGACGGCCUAGGAACAGUGGGUUAACUGCCUUGUUUAGGGGCAGAACGACAGAUUUGUACCUUGUCAGCUCGGGGAUUCCAAGACGCAUCAUCUUCAUGUGAUACGCACCCGCUCAAAACACCGCCGGAAGACACGUGUCGGCGGCAUCCAAUACUGUUGCAGUAUUUAGCGUUUGUUCGUUUUGAAAAAUGCAGAAGGAACCUCGUCUGUUGGAGUCAUAUGCUGCCAGUCGCAGCGGUUUUUGCCGAUUUUAAUCAUCCUAUUCCUGGCAACAUUAGGACAGAGGGACAAAUUACCCAGAUUGCCCAGGACUAAAUAGACGACAACAACAACGUGAGAUACUGAAGAUAAACCUACUAUCUUUUUUAACUUUAAAGUUCACAACGUUAUUUGAAAUGUCCCAGGGUUCUGGAAGAACAGGACGAGGACUCUCACGGUCGCUGAAGGUAAAACCUAAGGGCGCUGGAGUAAAGCCCUUACUGCUUAGCGGCAGCAUCAAUCUAGGUGUGGUGCAGGCCAUUGAAAUCCCAUACCCUGAAGGUAUGGAUUCUGAGGCUGGGAAACAUCACAAGGGGGAAGUCUUGAGGAAACAUCCUGAGACUCUGACAGUGGAUUACAAAAAAGCACUGAGGAACAGAGUCAAAACCAACUAUGUUUUCUACACAGCGCACCCCACAGCCUGGCGUAGUGCCCUGCACCAAACCUACUCCGACACUGAAGAGAGAGACAUCAACAAUGCCGUACAGGUCAAAGUGUAUGUGGAUGACAGUCACUUAAAGGUUAUUACAGUGAAUCUUUAUCACACCGGUACCGUCGUGGUCCAAGGCUCUCAGACCCAGCUCAACAACUUUCAACAGGACUUUCAGGAACUGAAGGAAAAAGCUGAGCUGAAUAGAAGUAUUGUCACAUACCAAGGAGCAUGUUAGAAUUGCAAAUGUAUUGUGUUACAUUUGUGGAAAAUAUAGUGUGUGUUUAGAUAAGAAACAUCUUAAAAACAUAAAUUUGUACUUAAUUGUAUGCACUCAUACAUGAUAUAAAAUAUGUAUUUAAAAAAGA
Long non-coding RNA from Salmo salar (Atlantic salmon), 1579 nucleotides. RefSeq lists it as uncharacterized. The record is from RefSeq and is a predicted model, not a curated record. NCBI's taxonomy places the organism in Eukaryota, Metazoa, Chordata, Actinopteri, Salmoniformes, Salmonidae.